CAGCUUGCUGGGGGAUUAGUGGCGAACGGGUGAGUAACACGUGAGUAACCUGCCCUUAACUCUGGGAUAAGCCUGGGAAACUGGGUCUAAUACCGGAUAUGACUCCUCAUCGCAUGGUGGGGGGUGGAAAGCUUUAUUGUGGUUUUGGAUGGACUCGCGGCCUAUCAGCUUGUUGGUGAGGUAAUGGCUCACCAAGGCGACGACGGGUAGCCGGCCUGAGAGGGUGACCGGCCACACUGGGACUGAGACACGGCCCAGACUCCUACGGGAGGCAGCAGUGGGGAAUAUUGCACAAUGGGCGCAAGCCUGAUGCAGCGACGCCGCGUGAGGGAUGACGGCCUUCGGGUUGUAAACCUCUUUCAGUAGGGAAGAAGCGAAAGUGACGGUACCUGCAGAAGAAGCGCCGGCUAACUACGUGCCAGCAGCCGCGGUAAUACGUAGGGCGCAAGCGUUAUCCGGAAUUAUUGGGCGUAAAGAGCUCGUAGGCGGUUUGUCGCGUCUGCCGUGAAAGUCCGGGGCUCAACUCCGGAUCUGCGGUGGGUACGGGCAGACUAGAGUGAUGUAGGGGAGACUGGAAUUCCUGGUGUAGCGGUGAAAUGCGCAGAUAUCAGGAGGAACACCGAUGGCGAAGGCAGGUCUCUGGGCAUUAACUGACGCUGAGGAGCGAAAGCAUGGGGAGCGAACAGGAUUAGAUACCCUGGUAGUCCAUGCCGUAAACGUUGGGCACUAGGUGUGGGGGACAUUCCACGUUUUCCGUACCGUAGCUAACGCAUUAAGUGCCCCGCCUGGGGAGUACGGCCGCAAGGCUAAAACUCAAAGGAAUUGACGGGGGCCCGC
RNAcentral lists this ribosomal RNA (837 nucleotides) under Actinomycetales bacterium 24-1PB. RNAcentral's name for it is "bacterial SSU rRNA". It matches the Rfam family "Bacterial small subunit ribosomal RNA", at positions 76 to 924 of the family's 1533-position model. Lineage: Bacteria; Bacillati; Actinomycetota; Actinomycetes; Actinomycetales. The record is from RNAcentral.